GAUGAACGCUGGCGGCGUGCCUAAUACAUGCAAGUCGAGCGAACAGACGAGGCGCUUGCUCCUCUGACGUUAGCGGCGGCAGGGUGAGUAACACGUGGAUAACCUACCUAUAAGACUGGGAUAACUUCGGGAAACCGGAGCUAAUACCGGAUCAUAUAUUGAACCGCAUGGUUCAAUAGUGAAAGACGGUUUUGCUGUCACUUAUAGAUGGAUCCGCGCCGCAUUAGCUAGUUGGUAAGGUAACGGCUUACCAAGGCAACGAUGCGUAGCCGACCUGAGAGGGUGAUCGGCCACACUGGAACUGAGACACGGUCCAGACUCCUACGGGAGGCAGCAGUAGGGAAUCUUCCGCAAUGGGCGAAAGCCUGACGGAGCAACGCCGCGUGAGUGAUGAAGGUCUUCGGAUCGUAAAACUCUGUUAGUAGGGAAGAACAAAUGUGUAAGUAACUAUGCACGUCUUGACGGUACCUAAUCAGAAAGCCACGGCUAACUACGUG
This 497-nucleotide ribosomal RNA is filed under the name uncultured bacterium. RNAcentral's name for it is "partial 16S ribosomal RNA". It matches the Rfam family "Bacterial small subunit ribosomal RNA", at positions 28 to 507 of the family's 1533-position model. The record is from RNAcentral.